This 548-nucleotide ribosomal RNA is filed under the name Fusarium solani. Its description in RNAcentral is "eukaryotic LSU rRNA". The stretch from base 183 to 336 matches the Rfam family "5.8S ribosomal RNA". Lineage: Eukaryota; Fungi; Ascomycota; Sordariomycetes; Hypocreales; Nectriaceae. The record is from RNAcentral.
UCUCCGUUGGUGAACCAGCGGAGGGAUCAUUACCGAGUUAUACAACUCAUCAACCCUGUGAACAUACCUAAAACGUUGCUUCGGCGGGAACAGACGGCCCUGUAACAACGGGCCGCCCCCGCCAGAGGACCCCUAACUCUGUUUUUAUAAUGUUUUUCUGAGUAAACAAGCAAAUAAAUUAAAACUUUCAACAACGGAUCUCUUGGCUCUGGCAUCGAUGAAGAACGCAGCGAAAUGCGAUAAGUAAUGUGAAUUGCAGAAUUCAGUGAAUCAUCGAAUCUUUGAACGCACAUUGCGCCCGCCAGUAUUCUGGCGGGCAUGCCUGUUCGAGCGUCAUUACAACCCUCAGGCCCCCGGGCCUGGCGUUGGGGAUCGGCAGAAGCCCCCUGUGGGCACACGCCGUCCCUCAAAUACAGUGGCGGUCCCGCCGCAGCUUCCAUUGCGUAGUAGCUAACACCUCGCAACUGGAGAGCGGCGCGGCCAUGCCGUAAAACACCCAACUUCUGAAUGUUGACCUCGAAUCAGGUAGGAAUACCCGCUGAACUUAA